RNAcentral lists this ribosomal RNA (110 nucleotides) under uncultured bacterium. RNAcentral's name for it is "partial 16S ribosomal RNA". It matches the Rfam family "Bacterial small subunit ribosomal RNA", at positions 1373 to 1482 of the family's 1533-position model. The record is from RNAcentral.
CCCGGGCCUUGUACACACCGCCCGUCACACCACGGGAGUUUGCAACACCCGAAGUCGGUGAGGUAACCGCAAGGAGCCAGCCGCCGAAGGUGGGGUAGAUGACUGGGGUG